Molecule: non-coding RNA, 706 nt
Organism: Dermacentor albipictus
Lineage: Eukaryota; Metazoa; Arthropoda; Arachnida; Ixodida; Ixodidae
Source: RefSeq, a predicted model, not a curated record
UGCUAUCAGCUUCCCCAGCGCCAUCUUUACACUGACCCUCCCCGUCAGAAGGGCCUUAAAGAGAGACGAACGCGCCCGAGCACAGUUGACUUUCCGCGGCUUAUACCUAAGCAAGACCAUUCGCCCAGCGACCGAAACGCCAUGCUGAAGUCCAUCGUACCUCUGCUGCUGUGCGCAGCAGCCAUCGGCUAGCGGAUGCCCGACCUGUUUGAAGGCUGCGUGCGGGAUACAGACGACAAUGCGUGCCCAGGCAGAUGCACACUGGUGUCGGAUGUUCUCGGCAACCAGUCUCUCACGAAGUAUGCCAACCAAAUUCUGAUGAUGCCAGCACUGCAGCCACGCACGGGCUAUCUCAACGCACUUUUAGGAAUGACUCGCGUCGCAUUUCAGCAUUCCGCAGAUGGGUCGGAUGAAACGAUCGUUCGAGCCGAGUUCGCCACCGCCCGAAGUGCCUGCAUUGACCGUGUCACCUACUCUACUGAUAGUUGCCCGCCUGCUGUGUCCAAGCCAAAUGGGGUGUGUCAGGCAAGGUACUCCUUGUACCAUGGCGCCAUUAUUCUCCAGCAUGCCUGGUGCAAGCCCUUAGAGUAGGCUUACGAGCUGCCAAGCAAGACUCCGCUUUUGUGGCCCCCUGAAGUACAAAUGUGCCAGGCGUGCGAGCCGCAAGCUUAGGACUGAAUAAAGUGCACUGAACACCUCAUAAGAA